RNAcentral lists this ribosomal RNA (253 nucleotides) under uncultured bacterium. Its description in RNAcentral is "partial 16S ribosomal RNA". It matches the Rfam family "Bacterial small subunit ribosomal RNA", at positions 524 to 776 of the family's 1533-position model. The record is from RNAcentral.
UACAGAGGGUGCGAGCGUUAUUCGGAAUUACUGGGCGUAAAGCGUGCGUAGACGGUUAUUUAAGUCGGAUGUGAAAGCCCCGGGCUCAACCUGGGAAUUGCAUUCGAGACUGAAUAGCUAGGGUACGGUAGAGGGAAGUGGAAUUUCCGGUGUAGCGGUGAAAUGCGUAGAUAUCGGAAGGAACAUCAGUGGCGAAAGCGACUUCCUGGACCAGUACCGACGUUCAGGCACGAAAGCGUGGGGAGCAAACAGG